GACGAACGCUGGCGGCGUGCUUAACACAUGCCAGUCGAACGGAAAGGCCCUGCUUUUGUGGGGUGCUCGAGUGGCGAACGGGUGAGUAACACGUGAGUAACCUGCCCUUGACUUUGGGAUAACUUCAGGAAACUGGGGCUAAUACCGGAUAGGAGCUCCUGCUGCAUGGUGGGGGUUGGAAAGUUUCGGCGGUUGGGGAUGGACUCGCGGCUUAUCAGCUUGUUGGUGGGGUAGUGGCUUACCAAGGCUUUGACGCGUAGCCGGCCUGAGAGGGUGACCGGCCACAUUGGGACUGAGAUACGGCCCAGACUCCUACGGGAGGCAGCAGUGGGGAAUAGUGCACAAUGGGCGGAAGCCUGAUGCAGCAACGCCGCGUGCGGGAUGACGGCCUUCGGGUUGUAAACCGCUUUCGCCUGUGACGAAGCGUGAGUGACGGUAAUGGGUAAAGAAGCACCGGCUAACUACGUG
Molecule: ribosomal RNA, 468 nt
Filed under: uncultured bacterium
Lineage: Bacteria
Description: partial 16S ribosomal RNA
Rfam family: Bacterial small subunit ribosomal RNA
Source: RNAcentral